This 1675-nucleotide long non-coding RNA is filed under the name Chinchilla lanigera (long-tailed chinchilla). RNAcentral's name for it is "lncRNA (ENSCLAG00000024301.1)". Lineage: Eukaryota; Metazoa; Chordata; Mammalia; Rodentia; Chinchillidae. The record is from RNAcentral.
UCAAAGCUGCAGGGAUUAAGAAAAUACUGAAAUUUAGGCCCUGAACUGAUCAAGCAUGGGAAUGACUGAUGACGUGAGAGCAAAGCCAAGGGCAGAGUAUAGUGAAUCACAGUAGAAGAAAUGCACAUAACAUACUUAUUGUUUCAAGAGGUUUGGCCAUAAAGAUACAGAAAAAAGUAGUGAAAAUGGGAAGGGAUGGAGGGCAGAUUUUUUUCACAGACAGGAGAGGGUGAGAAGAUACCACAGGCAGAGGUCCUUGAGGAGACAUAAAAUGAGAUAAACUCCAGAAAAAAGAAAGGAAGUGAUGACUGGGAAUGUGUAAAAACCUAGGUAAGAAAGUGAAGGAUCUAGUGUGAUCACAUGUAGAGAAAGGGGAAGAAAAAUGGUGAGAAUUGAAGAUCUCAGGCAAGCAGAGCAGUUUGAAACAGCUCCUGAGGAAAACAGGAGAGAACAGCAGCCAGGGAAAUGCAGAAGGGUUAGUACGUAACAGGGAGGUUAGAUAUCAAUUUAUACUGAUUGUUUGAUUUCCUCAGAAGCUGUGUGUAGAGUUAAGGAGAAGGAAAUAGCUGGGGUGGUUUCUAUUUGGAAUUUUGCCAGAUGGGUGUGAUAGAAUGCGGAGGAACAGGAAAAUUUAUUGUACUACAGGUAAUAAUCAUAGGAAUAAUAAGAUUAUGGAGUCUAAACCGAAUAAUGAAGGCUACGCCAGCAGGAGGUACUGACUACUAAAGAAAUGAGAAAAGAUGAAAGUCUUAAUGAGACAGCAACAGCGAGAACAGCUCAGAGAGCAGCGUUAAAGGAUCUCACUAUGGAGCCCAUGAUCUUCCUGCCUCAGCCUUCAAGGUACUACCAUUCCAGGUGGCAUCCAUUUUUUAAUGUGAGCAAGCUAGCCAAUGUGCUGUUACGACUUCUGUGUAAGCCCCCAGUCCUACGACAGAAGCAUAAACAAAACGGUCAAAUGGGCAAUGGCGAGACGCCGAGGAGAGGUAACACCAGCACCCCUGCGGUAGACAUGAGAUGCACCACCCAGAUGGGCCUUCGAAGAAGGAUGAGGAGUGAACAGAUGACUGUCUGCCCUCCAGGAGUCAGCUCAGACGCAGACAUUCACAGCCUUCACCGGGCAGCCUGUAUCUGGUACCUGAACAAGCGACAGCACAAGGCUCAGCCAUCCCACCAGACGUGGGAUCUUCUCACGAGCACACCCCGCCUCUCCCCGUUUGCUGAGGUCUUGUCAAGGCUGCGUUUCAGUCUGACUCCUACUUCUGCCCAACUUUGCUUCCCUCACUUCCUGUCACAUUACUGACCCCUAAUAAAUAUUUUCUGCAGUGAACUCUCUCUUGACCUCUGCUUUUGGAUAGUCAAAAUACUCAAAUAAUGAACACACUGGCAAACCACUCCCUGGGUAACCAGAAGUUAUAUUCAUCCUGAGUCAUGCCAAAUUUUGGUCUCUUUUCUGUCUUACUCUUUUCUGUCUUCUCUCUUACUUAGUUGUCUUACAAAAGGAAGAAGAGACUCCAAAAGCAGCUUUAGAAAGCGAGUUACAUCGAUGACAUAAGGCAACAUUCCGUGAAAUCAAGUGGCAGGGCCUUUGACUGUCAACCCUCAGGCUCAGUAGAAGCUGUAAGUGCAGCACCCCAAAAAGCCAGCCCCCCACCCCCCCACCCCCCCCCUCCCGGCA